Cyprinus carpio carpio is the source of this 906-nucleotide long non-coding RNA. The record is from Ensembl. NCBI's taxonomy places the organism in Eukaryota, Metazoa, Chordata, Actinopteri, Cypriniformes, Cyprinidae.
UGUAGAUAAAAAUAGCUCAGUCUAAGGUAAUGGUUCAUUAAGAAAGGUCUUUAUACUCCUCUGAAAACAUAGUAUUGUAUAUUAUAUUGCAUUUCUGUAAAUAGAUCGUUGUAAAUAUUACACAUUGCACCUUUCAGUUUUCCUUUUUUCCUGAAGUUCUAAAAUGUAAGAAUUUGAAGUACUGAAAAGAAUGGUAAGAUGUUUAAAUGAAUUUAUAUAUGUUUCAAAUAUUAAACAUUACUGUAAUUAUAUUAAAAAUAAAUAUAAUUAGAUAUAAAAGUGGCUGAAACGACAAUGUUAUGAUCCAAAAAUAUCCUAUAGUCACUGUACAUAAUUUUAAUUAUUUGUGUCAUUAUAGGUGAUGAUUCUACAUCCAGCUUUCAUCCAUGAGAUUUGGUUGCUGAAACGUGGCAAAUAUCCAUUCACUGGCUUCCUUGCUAUUAUAUUUGAGCUGCACGUCUGUGAUCAGGUUUCUACGUGUGGGUUUGGUGCAGAAACUAGUACCACUACUUCGACAAAAAAAAACCUCAAAUAAGGUUCAUACCGGCGCUGAUAGCGGCAGCUUUUCAAGGUAUUGAAAUUUGACGUGCAAUGCUUUUGGAAAUCCUACGAGGUCUGCGUCAUUAUGAAAGCCCUUACCUCACUCUUAUACAUUCUACAAGUGCUGCUGCUAGAAGUCAGUGGGGAGCAGAAACUCUAUGGUUACCAACGUUCUUCAAAAUAACAGAAGAAAGAAAUUCAUACAGGUUUGGCACAACUUCAGGGUGAGAAAAUUAAGAUAGAAUUUUUAUUUUUGGGUGAACUGUCCUUUUAAUUAUACUGUAUCUCGCUGCCUCAAGUGCAAAACUGCUGAUCAAUAUGAUGUACAUAGACGUGAAUUUAAAAGUGCAGAAAAUGAAUAAAAAU